This 654-nucleotide long non-coding RNA is filed under the name Oryctolagus cuniculus (rabbit). RNAcentral's name for it is "lncRNA (ENSOCUG00000033253.1)". Lineage: Eukaryota; Metazoa; Chordata; Mammalia; Lagomorpha; Leporidae. The record is from RNAcentral.
AUGACGCUGCUCUGUUCAUCCGUUCCUCCCAGCCCGGGACGCGUGGCGUUCCUCCCCGCACCACAGAUCCCGCGCGGCCAAGCGCGAGUCGUUUCCAGGCAUCGGCGUCUGUGGUCCUCGACCUUCGGAUUUCAGACCUCGGUGCCUCCCAGGACCGCGAUAAACGUCGCCUCCGCCCCUCUCUCUCAGAUCGCCUGGGGGGCGGUCUCGGCUUGCCCCAAAUCGGUCCUCAUUAGAGCCCGGCCAGGGAAGCCGGCAUCCGUGGCUCCCAGGGACCUGGACCCGGAGCUGCUCCUCCCUGCCCGGGCGACAGCAGCUGAGCAGUCCCGAGGCGGUCCGGAACCUCGCGGUGCCGUCUCCCCUCCCAGAGCGGAGUCGGGGACCGGGCUAGGUGGAAAUGCCAUGGUUCCCUUCUGCCCAGCGGGACCGCCCCUGCCCAGUCUCUCUCGCUUUUGGCCCUUCCUGGGGCUUCUAACGCCGUGGAACACUUGUGUUUCUCCUAGGGCUCGCUUGGAGGAAGGCAGCCUAGCGCAGACGGAAGGACCAGGGCCAAGAUACUUGACACGUGUGGCAGAGACUGCUGAUUGCACACCAACACAGUCCAUCUCCCCUUCACAUUUAAUAACAGCAGAAGGUAGCAGUAUGACCAGGUGA